RNAcentral lists this ribosomal RNA (274 nucleotides) under uncultured bacterium. Its description in RNAcentral is "partial 16S ribosomal RNA". It matches the Rfam family "Archaeal small subunit ribosomal RNA", at positions 473 to 747 of the family's 1478-position model. The record is from RNAcentral.
AAACCAGCACCUCAAGUGGUCAGGAUGAUUAUUGGGCCUAAAGCAUCCGUAGCCGGCUCUGUAAGUUUUCGGUUAAAUCUGUACGCUCAACGUACAGGCUGCCGGGAAUACUGCAGAGCUAGGGAGUGGGAGAGGUAGACGGUACUCGGGAGGAAGGGGUAAAAUCCUUUGAUCUUUCGAUGACCACCUGUGGCGAAGGCGGUCUACCAGAACAUGUCCGACGGUGAGGGAUGAAAGCUGGGGGAGCAAACCGGAUUAGAAACCCCGGUAGUCC